RNAcentral lists this ribosomal RNA (803 nucleotides) under Salmonella enterica. RNAcentral describes it as "partial 23S ribosomal RNA". It matches the Rfam family "Bacterial large subunit ribosomal RNA", at positions 699 to 1503 of the family's 2925-position model. Lineage: Bacteria; Pseudomonadati; Pseudomonadota; Gammaproteobacteria; Enterobacterales; Enterobacteriaceae. The record is from RNAcentral.
GUUGCAGGGUAUAGACCCGAAACCCGGUGAUCUAGCCAUGGGCAGGUUGAAGGUUGGGUAACACUAACUGGAGGACCGAACCGACUAAUGUUGAAAAAUUAGCGGAUGACCUGUGGCUGGGGGUGAAAGGCCAAUCAAACCGGGAGAUAGCUGGUUCUCCCCGAAAGCUAUUUAGGUAGCGCCUCGUGAAUUCAUCUCCGGGGGUAGAGCACUGUUUCGGCUAGGGGGCCAUCCCGGCUUACCAACCCGAUGCAAACUGCGAAUACCGGAGAAUGUUAUCACGGGAGACACACGGCGGGUGCUAACGUCCGUCGUGAAGAGGGAAACAACCCAGACCGCCAGCUAAGGUCCCAAAGUCAUGGUUAAGUGGGAAACGAUGUGGGAAGGCCCAGACAGCCAGGAUGUUGGCUUAGAAGCAGCCAUCAUUUAAAGAAAGCGUAAUAGCUCACUGGUCGAGUCGGCCUGCGCGGAAGAUGUAACGGGGCUAAACCAUGCACCGAAGCUGCGGCAGCGACGCUGAUGCGUUGUUGGGUAGGGGAGCGUUCUGUAAGCCUGUGAAGGUGGCCUGUGAGGGUUGCUGGAGGUAUCAGAAGUGCGAAUGCUGACAUAAGUAACGAUAAAGCGGGUGAAAAGCCCGCUCGCCGGAAGACCAAGGGUUCCUGUCCAACGUUAAUCGGGGCAGGGUGAGUCGACCCCUAAGGCGAGGCCGAAAGGCGUAGUCGAUGGGAAACGGGUUAAUAUUCCCGUACUUGGUGUUACUGCGAAGGGGGGACGGAGAAGGCUAUGUUGGCCGGGCGACGGUU